This 327-nucleotide ribosomal RNA is filed under the name uncultured eukaryote. RNAcentral's name for it is "partial 18S ribosomal RNA". It matches the Rfam family "Eukaryotic small subunit ribosomal RNA", at positions 1470 to 1796 of the family's 1831-position model. The record is from RNAcentral.
CCCUUAGAUGUUCUGGGCCGCACACGCGCUACACUGAAGGAGGCAGCGUGUACUCCUGGAUCGAAAGAUUUGGGUAACCCGCGAAUCUCCUUCGUGCUAGGGAUUGAGGUUUGCAAUUAUCCUUCAUGAACGAGGAAUUCCCAGUAAGUGCAAGUCAUAAGCUUGCGCUGACUACGUCCCUGCCCUUUGUACACACCGCCCGUCGCUACUACCGAUUGAAUGAUUUAGUGAGGACUUCGGACUGGGACCGAUGCGGCUUUCGGGCUGCGUCGGUAUUCUGGAAAGAUUUCCAAACUGUAUCAUUUAGAGGAAGUAAAAGUCGUAACA